RNAcentral lists this ribosomal RNA (498 nucleotides) under uncultured bacterium. RNAcentral describes it as "partial 16S ribosomal RNA". It matches the Rfam family "Bacterial small subunit ribosomal RNA", at positions 30 to 523 of the family's 1533-position model. The record is from RNAcentral.
AUUGAACGCUGGCGGCAUGCCUUACACAUGCAAGUCGAACGGUAACAGGUCUUCGGAUGCUGACGAGUGGCGAACGGGUGAGUAAUACAUCGGAACGUGCCUAGUAGGGGGGGAUAACUACUCGAAAGAGUGGCUAAUACCGCAUGAGAUCUACGGAUGAAAGCAGGGGAUCGCAAGACCUUGUGCUACUAGAGCGGCCGAUGGCAGAUUAGGUAGUUGGUGGGAUAAAAGCUUACCAAGCCGACGAUCUGUAGCUGGUCUGAGAGGACGAUCAGCCACACUGGGACUGAGACACGGCCCAGACUCCUACGGGAGGCAGCAGUGGGGAAGUUUGGACAAUGGGCGCAAGCCUGAUCCAGCAAUGCCGCGUGCAGGAUGAAGGCCUUCGGGUUGUAAACUGCUUUUGUACGGAACGAAAAGCCCUGGGUUAAUACCCUGGGGUCAUGACGGUACCGUAAGAAUAAGCACCGGCUAACUACGUGCCAGCCGCCGCCGUAA